GAGUUUGAUCAUGGCUCAGAUUGAACGCUGGCGGCAUGCCUUACACAUGCAAGUCGAACGGUAACAGGUUAAGCUGACGAGUGGCGAACGGGUGAGUAAUAUAUCGGAACGUGCCCAGUCGUGGGGGAUAACUGCUCGAAAGAGCAGCUAAUACCGCAUACGACCUGAGGGUGAAAGCGGGGGAUCGCAAGACCUCGCGCGAUUGGAGCGGCCGAUAUCAGAUUAGGUAGUUGGUGGGGUAAAGGCCCACCAAGCCAACGAUCUGUAGCUGGUCUGAGAGGACGACCAGCCACACUGGGACUGAGACACGGCCCAGACUCCUACGGGAGGCAGCAGUGGGGAAUUUUGGACAAUGGACGCAAGUCUGAUCCAGCCAUGCCGCGUGCGGGAAGAAGGCCUUCGGUUGUAACCG
RNAcentral lists this ribosomal RNA (412 nucleotides) under uncultured beta proteobacterium. RNAcentral describes it as "bacterial SSU rRNA". It matches the Rfam family "Bacterial small subunit ribosomal RNA", at positions 9 to 432 of the family's 1533-position model. Lineage: Bacteria; Pseudomonadati; Pseudomonadota; Betaproteobacteria. The record is from RNAcentral.